UAGUCCCAGUCCGUCCCUGACAAGAGGUAGAUAACAGAAUAUAACAUUAUUAUUGCACAAGUGGGUCCUGGAGGUGUACAGGUAAGAUGGUAGACUUGCAGCCAAUCAUGCUGCAGCGUAGCAGACUGAUGGAGGAGGAGAGGACGGCCUGGGUGAUGGAGGAGUGCACCAUCAGGGUCUUUGGCAGGUUGAGUUUGUUGCCGUGGUAACCAGGACAGAACGUGCUCCAAGUUUAAAGGACGAGAGAGGGAAAGUUUGUCUCUGUGUACUCUCGCCCAAUUGGCUCCAACCAAUCUGACCCAGAACCAUCAAGUGGUUCAGGUAAUGGAUGGUUGAUUGUUUCUCUGACAAAUUCAGAGUCUACACGACUGCAGAGACGUUUUCUCUCUCAUCAGCAGAUUU
Labrus mixtus (cuckoo wrasse) is the source of this 402-nucleotide long non-coding RNA. RefSeq lists it as uncharacterized. Lineage: Eukaryota; Metazoa; Chordata; Actinopteri; Labriformes; Labridae. The record is from RefSeq and is a predicted model, not a curated record. The transcript has 3 exons.